This 430-nucleotide ribosomal RNA is filed under the name Pseudomonadota bacterium. RNAcentral describes it as "Proteobacteria bacterium partial 16S ribosomal RNA". It matches the Rfam family "Bacterial small subunit ribosomal RNA", at positions 355 to 776 of the family's 1533-position model. The record is from RNAcentral. Lineage: Bacteria; Pseudomonadati; Pseudomonadota.
UGGGGAAUAUUGGACAAUGGGCGAAAGCCUGAUCCAGCCAUGCCGCGUGUGUGAAGAAGGCCUUAUGGUUGUAAAGCACUUUAAGCGAGGAGGAGGGUACUGGUAUUAAUACUACCAGCUACUGGACGUUACUCGCAGAAUAAGCACCGGCUAACUCUGUGCCAGCAGCCGCGGUAAUACAGAGGGUGCGAGCGUUAAUCGGAUUUACUGGGCGUAAAGCGUGCGUAGGCGGCUAAUUGAGUCGGAUGUGAAAUCCCCGAGCUUAACUUGGGAACUGCAUCCAAAACUGGCGAGCUAGAGUAGGGCAGAGGGUGGUGGAAUUUCCUGUGUAGCGGUGAAAUGCGUAGAUAUAGGAAGGAACACCAGUGGCGAAGGCGACCACCUGGGCUCAUACUGACACUGAGGUGCGAAAGCGUGGGGAGCAAACAGG